UACGUAGGUGGCAAGCGUUGUCCGGAUUUAUUGGGCGUAAAGCGCGCGCAGGCGGUCUUUUAAGUCUGAUGCGAAAUCUCGCGGCUCAACCGUGAGCGGUCAUUGGAAACUGGAAGACUUGAGUACAGAAGAGGAGAGUGGAAUUCCACGUGUAGCGGUGAAAUGCGUAGAUAUGUGGAGGAACACCAGUGGCGAAGGCGACUCUCUGGUCUGUAACUGACGCUGAGGCGCGAAAGCGUGGGGAGCGAACAGG
RNAcentral lists this ribosomal RNA (253 nucleotides) under uncultured bacterium. Its description in RNAcentral is "partial 16S ribosomal RNA". It matches the Rfam family "Bacterial small subunit ribosomal RNA", at positions 524 to 776 of the family's 1533-position model. The record is from RNAcentral.